ACACAAAAAUAAACGCUUUAUUCAUUCUAGAGAAAUAUAAAUUUAACAGAAUGCUUUGGGACUUUAUACGAGCAUCAUUGCAGUCGAACUGUGACACUUAUUGCAACAACAAUAGCGAUAAAAACAAAAAUUAAAUUAAAUAAAUAUAUUUUUCAACGUUUGAGUAAUUUAUAUAAGUAAUUGAUUAUUGAUAUGUGAUACUCGGUCAUUUAACUUGUCAAUUAAAUGGAUAAAUAAAUAAUUUAAUUAUCAAUUUAUUUAUUUAAUUAAUUAUUUUUAAUUUUUGAUUUUUUUUUUUUUUUUCAUUUUCAAGUGUGUAAAUUCAUUUUUUUUUUUUUUUGCCCAUGAUUUCUGGAAAUGAGUAGAGGACAAGUGGAUGCAUAUUGCAAAUAAAAAUUAAUUUAAAAAAAUAAAAAAAUUUAAAUUAUGACUGAGUGUAUGUUAUUUGUGAAAAAAUAAGUUAAAAAAAAAAAUCAAUUAAAAGCGUGGGAUAAUUUUUAAAGUUGAAUAAUGUGUUUUUAAUUUGAUAAAUAUUUUUAUUGUUUAUUAAAAGUGUUGUUUAACUAUUUGACUAUUAUUUUUUGUUGUUUUGAUUAUUGGAAUUUUUCAAUAUGACAAGUCAAUUUGACUUUAAUCCAAUGGAUCUUGCAAGUGUAUUUAGAAGAAAUAUCAAUGAAACCGACACAGAGAGUGAAAUGUCGAGGUUUUCACCACCACUGAGAAUGUUUGCAACAAUUGUUGCAAUAAUAAUAUUAUUAACUGGUCUUUUUGGUAAUUUAUUGACGAUAAUUGCUCUAUCAAGAUAUCCAAAAAUUCGUAAUGUCGCAGCAGCAUUUAUCAUAAGUUUAUGUGUUGCUGAUUUUAUAUUUUGCCUGCUGGUAUUGCCAUUUGAUUCAAUAAGAUUUGUCAAUGCAAGUUGGACAAAUUAUAGAUAUCUUUGUAUGGGUGUACCAUUUUUACGUUAUGGAAAUAUUGGUGUAAGUCUUUUGAGUGUUGGUGCAAUAACAAUAAAUCGUUUUAUCAUGAUAACUCAUCACAGUCUUUAUGCUAAAGUUUAUAAAAAACACUGGAUUGCCUUGAUGAUUGCCAUGUGUUACAUAUGCUCAUACGGAAUGCAAUUGCCAACAUUAACCGGUUCCUGGGGUAAAUUUGAUUACGAUGAAAAAUUGGGUACUUGUUCAAUUAUCAAGGAUGAAAAUGGUAGAAGUUCAAAGACAUUUCUUUUUAUAACUGCAUUUAUUAUUCCUUGUAUUGUCAUUGUUUGUUGUUAUACAAAAAUAUUUUGGGUUGUUCACAGUUCAGAAUCACGAAUGCGUAAACAUGCAAGUCCAACAAUAAAAUCACCACAUACACCAGGACGUGAUACAAGAGAAAUAAAACAAAGAAGAAGUGAAUGGAGAAUAACUAAAAUGGUAUUAGCAAUAUUUUUAAGUUUUGUUGCUUGUUAUUUGCCCAUUACAAUUGUCAAAGUAUCUGAUCCAGAUGUCAAUUAUCCAAAAUUUCAUGUGAUUGGUUAUCUUUUAUUGUACUUUUCAUCAUGUGUAAAUCCAUUGAUUUAUGUUAUAAUGAAUAAACAAUAUAGACAAGCAUAUGCUAAUAUAAUAAGUUGUUCAAAAAUAAGAGCAACAUUGACACCACAUGGUAGCAGUGCACCAGGACAUAACAACAUUGGCCAAGAGAAACUUAUAAAAAAUGGCGAUGUCGAAACGAAAUUCUGAAUAAUCUACAAUAAUUGAUGCAGCUUUUUUAAAAAAAAAUAAUUAAAAAUAAUAAAAAAGAAAAAAUGAAUUUUCGAUAAAUAAAUAACAAUCUGCUGAUUAAUUUUGAGUAUGAUGGAAAAUCAUGGAACCAAUAGACACAAAUAUUGCAUGUUAUUAAAUAUUGGAAAAUAAAAAAAGCUAGAUUAUUCAAAGGAUUACAGCAAGACAAUGGUGUCAACUGUUUCGAUCGCAUUGAAUCCAGUUAUCAGAAAAUCUGACCUCCAAGAUGAUUAAAUUUAAAAAAAAAAUUAAAUCA
Molecule: unclassified non-coding RNA, 2016 nt
Filed under: Aphidius gifuensis
Lineage: Eukaryota; Metazoa; Arthropoda; Insecta; Hymenoptera; Braconidae
Description: g-protein coupled receptor moody-like, transcript variant X1
Source: RNAcentral